UGGCUCCCGUAUCGAUGAAGAACGCAGCGAAAUGCGAUACGUAGUGUGAAUUGCAGAUAAUGUGAAUCAUCGAAUCUUUGAACGCAAAUUGCACUCGAGGCUCCGGCCGAGAGUAUGUCUGCCUCAGCGUCGGCUUCACCCUCACACACCCGCUCGAGCGGGCGAUGUGGAUCUGGCAGUCCCGGUUCCAUCAGAACCGGGUCCGCUGAAGACCAGAGGCUCGAGCGAGGACCCGAUCGGGACAACAGUCUGGUAGGUGUUUCCCCACCGGGAACGCAUGCCGCUGUCGGCCCGGGACCCCGCUGUAAGCCGGCAGGAACUUUGGUUUCGUGCGCCGUGAAAAGCCUCGAGGACCAAACCUUUCAACAUUCGACCUGAGUUCAGGCAAGAACACCCGCUGA
RNAcentral lists this unclassified non-coding RNA (401 nucleotides) under uncultured fungus. RNAcentral describes it as "partial contains 5.8S ribosomal RNA and internal transcribed spacer 2". The stretch from base 1 to 132 matches the Rfam family "5.8S ribosomal RNA", at positions 22 to 154 of the family's 154-position model. The record is from RNAcentral. Lineage: Eukaryota; Fungi.